This is a non-coding RNA of Arachis ipaensis, 843 nucleotides long. The record is from RefSeq and is a predicted model, not a curated record. Lineage: Eukaryota; Viridiplantae; Streptophyta; Magnoliopsida; Fabales; Fabaceae.
GCGUUCUGUUUCCGCUGCUGCUCUGUCACCGUCGCUGCUCUGUCACCGUCGCUGCUCUAUCGCGCUCUGUUGCAAGCGAAUCGAUGGAAUUCGACCCGAUCCCAAUCAGUUCCUGCUCCAAAGAGAACCAGAGCAUCUACCAGCAGUUGUUUAAAUUACGCCGAUUCAGGUAUGCAUUGUUUAAAUUACGCCGAUAAACCUUAGGGUUCAAUUUUUCUACGCCAGUUUUAGCUAGGUUUAUCAUACUUUGCUUUUGUGGCUCAAUUGUUUAAUGGUUCCAACUAUUAUAUAAAGCAAAACAAAAAGUAUACAAAAUUAAUGGAAGCAGAAAAGCUUGAUUGAAGACACUGUGAUAGUCAAGUUCAAAUAAAGAGAAUGUGACUAAUAAUGAAUAAAUUAAAGUUGCAUGAUAUUUCGUUAAAUGUUAAAACAUUUUUUAAAUAUAUAUAUAAGGCAAUUUUGAACUAUAUAGUUUGCACAUUUGUUUGAACUUCUGCAGCAAAGCAUUGUCGUAUGGAGUUACUCAUGCAGCAAAGGUUAGUGGCUUGCCCAUGGUUUAUUUAUCUGCAAUCAUCUUGUUUUCUUUUUUUUCCUGAUCUAUUUUUCUAUUUCAGGCUCUAAAACCUGCUACUCUUGUUCCUCUUCAGCUUUUAAAGUCAAGUGGAACCAAAUGCAUAAUGGUUGGUGACCCAAAGCAACUUCCUGCAACUGUCCUCUCAAAUAUUGCGAGUAAAUAUCUUUACGAGUGCAGCAUGUUUGAACGUUUACAAAGGGCAGGGCAUCCUGUUAUCAUGCUUACUGAGCAGUUGCAAAAGCUUUGAAGAAAGUAAAGGUUGUUUUUCU